GCAUUCACUUUGGUACCACAUAUCCCAAAAUUGGAACAUACAGAGAAGAUUUAACAGCCCCUGAGACAGGAUGACGUGCAAGUACAUGAAACAUUUCAUGUUUUU
Molecule: small nuclear RNA, 105 nt
Organism: Bison bison bison
Lineage: Eukaryota; Metazoa; Chordata; Mammalia; Artiodactyla; Bovidae
Source: Ensembl